This 301-nucleotide ribosomal RNA is filed under the name uncultured bacterium. RNAcentral's name for it is "partial 16S ribosomal RNA". It matches the Rfam family "Bacterial small subunit ribosomal RNA", at positions 509 to 807 of the family's 1533-position model. The record is from RNAcentral.
CAGUAGCCGCGGUAAUACGGAGGGUGCAAGCGUUAAUCGGAAUUACUGGGCGUAAAGCGUGCGUAGGCGGUUCGUUAAGUCUGUUGUGAAAGCCCCGGGCUCAACCUGGGAAUGGCAAUGGAUACUGGCGAGCUAGAGUGUGUCAGAGGAUGGUGGAAUUCCCGGUGUAGCGGUGAGAUGCGUAGAGAUCGGGAGGAACAUCAGUGGCGAAGGCGGCCAUCUGGGACAACACUGACGCUGAGGCACGAAAGCGUGGGGAGCAAACAGGAUUAGAUACCCCCGUAGUCCCUGUCUCUUAUAC